GGGUUAGUAACGCGUGGGAACGUGCCCUUCACUGCGGAAUAGCCACUGGAAACGGUGAGUAAUACCGCAUACGCCCUUCGGGGGAAAGAUUUAUCGGUGAAGGAUCGGCCCGCGUUAGAUUAGAUAGUUGGUGGGGUAACGGCCUACCAAGUCUACGAUCUAUAGCUGGUUUUAGAGGAUGAUCAGCAACACUGGGACUGAGACACGGCCCAGACUCCUACGGGAGGCAGCAGUGGGGAAUCUUGGACAAUGGGCGCAAGCCUGAUCCAGCCAUGCCGCGUGAGUGAUGAAGGCCUUAGGGUCGUAAAGCUCUUUCGCCAGAGAUGAUAAUGACAGUAUCUGGUAAAGAAACCCCGGCUAACUCCGUGCCAGCAGCCGCGGUAAUACGGAGGGGGUUAGCGUUGUUCGGAAUUACUGGGCGUAAAGCGCACGUAGGCGGAUCAGAAAGUUGGGGGUGAAAUCCCGGGGCUCAACCCCGGAACUGCCUCCAAAACUCCUGGUCUUGAGUUCGAGAGAGGUGAGUGGAAUUCCGAGUGUAGAGGUGAAAUUCGUAGAUAUUCGGAGGAACACCAGUGGCGAAGGCGGCUCACUGGCUCGAUACUGACGCUGAGGUGCGAAAGUGUGGGGGAGCAAACAGGAUUAGAUACCCUGGUAGUCC
RNAcentral lists this ribosomal RNA (658 nucleotides) under Marinovum algicola. RNAcentral describes it as "bacterial SSU rRNA". It matches the Rfam family "Bacterial small subunit ribosomal RNA", at positions 104 to 796 of the family's 1533-position model. Lineage: Bacteria; Pseudomonadati; Pseudomonadota; Alphaproteobacteria; Rhodobacterales; Roseobacteraceae. The record is from RNAcentral.